Molecule: small nucleolar RNA, 104 nt
Organism: Cornus florida
Lineage: Eukaryota; Viridiplantae; Streptophyta; Magnoliopsida; Cornales; Cornaceae
Source: RefSeq, a predicted model, not a curated record
AUGCCGUGAAGAGGACAUUUCCUAAAAAAAUCAUUCAGUUGUUCCCAUGCCUCAUGUAAUAUCUCCCUAUCCCUAUGUGAAAACUCACAAAUUGAAGUUCGCAU